This 277-nucleotide ribosomal RNA is filed under the name uncultured bacterium. Its description in RNAcentral is "partial 16S ribosomal RNA". It matches the Rfam family "Bacterial small subunit ribosomal RNA", at positions 335 to 606 of the family's 1533-position model. The record is from RNAcentral.
ACUCCUACGGGAGGCAGCAGUAAGGGAAUAUUGGACAAUGGGCGCAAGCCUGAUCCAGCCAUCCCGCGUGCAGGAAGACAGCCCUAUGGGUUUUAAACUGCUUUAGAAAGGGAAGAAACGCCUACAAUUUAUGUGGGUUUGACGGUACCUUCAGAAUAAGCACCGGCUAACUCCGUGCCAGCAGCCGCGGUAAUACGGAGGGUGCGAGCGUUAUCCGGAAUUACUGGGUUUAAAGGGUGCGUAGGGCGGGCGAUUAAGUCAGAGGUGAAAUGCUUUC